RNAcentral lists this ribosomal RNA (253 nucleotides) under uncultured bacterium. Its description in RNAcentral is "partial 16S ribosomal RNA". It matches the Rfam family "Bacterial small subunit ribosomal RNA", at positions 524 to 776 of the family's 1533-position model. The record is from RNAcentral.
UACGGGGGGGGCAAGCGUUGUUCGGAAUUACUGGGCGUAAAGGGCUCGUAGGCGGCCAACUAAGUCAGACGUGAAAUCCCCAGGCUCAACCUGGGAACUGCGUCUGAUACUGGAUGGCUUGAAUCCGGGAGAGGGAUGCAGAAUUCCAGGUGUAGCGGUGAAAUGCGUAGAUAUCAGGAGGAACACCGGUGGCGAAGGCGGUGGUCUGGGCCGGCACUGACGCUGAGGAGCGAAAGCGUGGGGAGCAAACAGG